CCUACGGGAGGCAGCAGUGGGGGAUAUUGCACAAUGGGGGGAACCCUGAUGCAGCGACGCCGCGUGGGUGAAGGAGCAUUUCGGCUUGUAAAGCCCUAUCAGCAGGGAAGAAAAUGACGGUAUCUGACCAAGAAGCCCCGGCUAACUACGUGCCAGCAGCCGCGGUAAUACGUAGGGGGCAAGCGUUAUCCGGAUUGACUGGGUGUAAAGGGGGCGCAGACGGGAAUGCAAGUCAGAAGUGAAAGCCCGGGGCUCAACCCCGGGACUGCUUUUGAAACUGUAUGUCUGGAGUACAGGAGGGGUAGGCGGAAUUCCUGGUGUAGCGGUGAAAUGCGUAGAUAUCAGGAGGAACACCAGUGGCGAAGGCGGCCUGCUGGACUGUGACUGACGUUGAGGCUCGAAGGCGUGGGGAGCAAACAGGAUUAGAUACCCUUGUAGUC
Molecule: ribosomal RNA, 440 nt
Filed under: uncultured bacterium
Lineage: Bacteria
Description: partial 16S ribosomal RNA
Rfam family: Bacterial small subunit ribosomal RNA
Source: RNAcentral